AUGAUGAUGAUGAUGAUGAUGACUCUAUGCUGCCAUGCUAAUGAAGUCGGUGAGUCUUUCCUCCUCAUGCUAUCAUCAUCAUCAUCAUCAUCAUCAUCA
RNAcentral lists this microRNA precursor (99 nucleotides) under Bigelowiella natans CCMP2755. Its description in RNAcentral is "miRNA EPrBNAG00000013654". The record is from RNAcentral. Lineage: Eukaryota; Cercozoa; Chlorarachniophyceae.